CCUACGGGCGGCAGCAGUGAGGAAUAUUGGUCAAUGGGCGGGAGCCUGAACCAGCCAAGUCGCGUGAGGGAAGACGGUCCUAUGGAUUGUAAACCUCUUUAGGCGGGGAGCAAUUCCGGGCACGCGUGCCCGGAGGGAGAGUACCCGCAGAAUAAGCAUCGGCUAACUCCGUGCCAGCAGCCGCGGUAAUACGGAGGAUGCGAUCGUUAUCGGGAUUGAUUGGGUGAAAGGGGUGCGUAGGCGGAUUUUUAAGUCAGCGGUAAAAGGGCGGGGUCCAACCCGGGCCGGCCGUUGAAACUGGGGAGCUUGAGUGGGAGAGAAGUAUGCGGAAUGCGUGGUGUAGCGGUGAAAUGCAUAGAUAUCGCGCAGAACCCCGAUUGCGAAGGCAGCAUACCGGCGCCCGACUGACGCUGAGGCACGAAAGCGUGGGGAUCGAACAGGAUUAGAUACCCCAGUAGUC
RNAcentral lists this ribosomal RNA (460 nucleotides) under uncultured bacterium. RNAcentral describes it as "partial 16S ribosomal RNA". It matches the Rfam family "Bacterial small subunit ribosomal RNA", at positions 338 to 795 of the family's 1533-position model. The record is from RNAcentral.